Long non-coding RNA from Raphanus sativus (radish), 773 nucleotides. RefSeq lists it as uncharacterized. The transcript has 5 exons. NCBI's taxonomy places the organism in Eukaryota, Viridiplantae, Streptophyta, Magnoliopsida, Brassicales, Brassicaceae. The record is from RefSeq and is a predicted model, not a curated record.
AGAGAACUCGAAAUGCGAAGCGGCAGGCCGAUGUUCAAUCCGGUGUUUCUUCCGGCGUUGUUCCCUCCAUGAAGGCAACGAACCCAGCGGUUGUCUCAUCCGGUUCGGUCAACCCAGUUGUCCACCCCGGUAUCUCUUCCGGCGAUGUUAACUCGGUGAGGUCUAAAAAAGGUGCGGCGGUCUCCUCCGGUCCAGGCAAACCAAACGUCCAAACCGGCGCUUCUUCCGGCGUCAGAAGUCAAAGAAAUGCGAGAGGUCAUAUGUCAUGGGUUAGAUCACUUGAGAGAGGAAGGUCCACAGACUAUGACGAGAAGGUUGGAGACCGUUAAAGUUUUGCGUCCUUUAGGCUUACUUCUGUUAGAUACCCAGGUUAUGACGACCUCGACCUUUUUUCUAUUCUAUAUUCAUCUUCUUGGUGUGAUUUGUACACUAUCUUUUAUGUGCUUUGGCAGGAGAGGUUAACCGGAUUGGUUCAACUUUAUGAUCCAGCUGCUGCCAGCAGGUUGUGUUUUGCUUCUCAUUUUUGCUAAUGACAUACGCAUAGAGAGGAAGCUGGUGUGAAGGAUAUGAAUAAGAGCCUUUUAAAAUUAACAGAUUGCAAGGGAGGCUGCUCUAUCUUCUCAGGUUCAUUUCUUGGAGCAGAGGGUGCAGAUGCUUGAAGAGGAGAUUGAGACUCAGAAGAAACUAAACGCUCAGCUAGAAGAUUAAGAGCUUGACCACGAGCAGUGAUCCAUAAAGGCAGGAUUGACUUUGCGCUCCAUCUUGAAGGAGGC